CUGGGAUGAAUCACGUUGCGGUCCCGCUGCUGUCUGCCUGGCUGGAGGACUCUGCGGGGAGCUGCAAGAAGAGGCUAGAAGGGCAGGAAGGUAGUGGCCUGGAUGUUCAAAACCCAUGUGUGGACCAUCAGGAAAAAUAAUGAUGCCUGCUAGAGUGGAUUCUGUCAAGAUGAAGCAUCAACAAAAAAAUCUACACCUUGCAAGAUGGGCCAAACAGCAUGACUUCUGUAUUUAAACAACACUUAUGAUUAAGUGUUAUGAAGCAUGAAUUACAGGGUUCAAACUGGGGAACUCUGGGACAAGUUUUUGCUACCUCAGUCACAAGGUAUGUAUAGCAUAAACUGUUCAAAUUAAUUGUAGUUUAUACUCAGUGGCU
Molecule: long non-coding RNA, 376 nt
Filed under: Struthio camelus australis
Lineage: Eukaryota; Metazoa; Chordata; Aves; Struthioniformes; Struthionidae
Description: lncRNA (ENSSCUG00000004293.1)
Source: RNAcentral